Molecule: ribosomal RNA, 254 nt
Filed under: uncultured bacterium
Lineage: Bacteria
Description: partial 16S ribosomal RNA
Rfam family: Bacterial small subunit ribosomal RNA
Source: RNAcentral
UACGGGGGGAGCAAGCGUUGGUUCGGAUUUACUGGGCGUAAAGGGCGCGUAGGCGGCCCAGCACAAGUCAGUUGUGAAAUCUCCGAGCUUAACUCGAAAGGUCACUGAUACUGUGCGGCUAGAGUGCGGAAGGGGCAACUGGAAUUCUUGGUGUAGCGGUGAAAUGCGUAGAUAUCAAGAGGAACACCUGCGGCGAAGGCGGGUGCUGGGCCGACACUGACGCUGAGGCGCGAAAGCCAGGGGAGGCGAACGGG